This 67-nucleotide transfer RNA is filed under the name Sicista betulina (Northern birch mouse). RNAcentral describes it as "tRNA-Val". It matches the Rfam family "tRNA". Rfam says of the family: Transfer RNA (tRNA) molecules are approximately 80 nucleotides in length. Their secondary structure includes four short double-helical elements and three loops (D, anti-codon, and T loops). Further hydrogen bonds mediate the characteristic L-shaped molecular structure. tRNAs have two regions of fundamental functional importance: the anti-codon, which is responsible for specific mRNA codon recognition, and the 3' end, to which the tRNAs corresponding amino acid is attached (by aminoacyl-tRNA synthetases). tRNAs cope with the degeneracy of the genetic code in two manners: having more than one tRNA (with a specific anti-codon) for a particular amino acid; and 'wobble' base-pairing, i.e. permitting non-standard base-pairing at the 3rd anti-codon position. Lineage: Eukaryota; Metazoa; Chordata; Mammalia; Rodentia; Dipodidae. The record is from RNAcentral.
CAAAAUGUAGCUUAACGUAAAGCAUCUGACCUACACUCAGAAGACUCCUCCCUNAAGGACAUUUUGA